RNAcentral lists this ribosomal RNA (497 nucleotides) under uncultured bacterium. RNAcentral describes it as "partial 16S ribosomal RNA". It matches the Rfam family "Bacterial small subunit ribosomal RNA", at positions 28 to 507 of the family's 1533-position model. The record is from RNAcentral.
GACGAACGCUGGCGGCGUGCCUAAUACAUGCAAGUUGAGCGCUGAAGGUUGGUACUUGUACCAACUGGAUGAGCAGCGAACGGGUGAGUAACGCGUGGGGAAUCUGCCUUUGAGCGGGGGACAACAUUUGGAAACGAAUGCUAAUACCGCAUAAAAACUUUAAACACAAGUUUUAAGUUUGAAAGAUGCAAUUGCAUCACUCAAAGAUGAUCCCGCGUUGUAUUAGCUAGUUGGUGAGGUAAAGGCUCACCAAGGCGAUGAUACAUAGCCGACCUGAGAGGGUGAUCGGCCACAUUGGGACUGAGACACGGCCCAAACUCCUACGGGAGGCAGCAGUAGGGAAUCUUCGGCAAUAGACGAAAGUCUGACCGAGCAACGCCGCGUGAGUGAAGAAGGUUUUCGGAUCGUAAAACUCUGUUGGUAGAGAAGAACGUUGAUGAGAGUGGAAAGCUCAUCAAGUGACGGUAACUACCCAGAAAGGGACGGCUAACUACGUG